Homo sapiens (human) is the source of this 775-nucleotide long non-coding RNA. RefSeq lists it as uncharacterized. NCBI's taxonomy places the organism in Eukaryota, Metazoa, Chordata, Mammalia, Primates, Hominidae. The transcript has 3 exons. The record is from RefSeq and is a predicted model, not a curated record.
UUGGAGGAGGCUUUACGAGGUCAAGAAGGUCAUUUCAAGUUGUGGAAACACAGCCCAUUGGUUGGCUUGAAGCACCUGGCCUCCUGCAGUCAUCAGCAAACACUUGUCCUGCCCUUGUAAAUAGUUUUGGACGAAUGAAGGAUAUGGUUAAAGACCAAACGAAAGGAGAUCCCAGCAAAGUUUGAAAGAGGAUGAGAUUCAGUGCACUAAACUCACCAUUCUAAGGAUCAGCCACUUCCAAAGGCUGGGGUGGUGCAUCAAAGAGAAGCCAGCUGUGCCCCAGCUCCGUGAGGGGUGGUUUCCCUAACACCAUGUGGCCCCUUGGCUCCAACUCAGCUUUCUCAAUGCCUGUGGGCAUUUGUCUGCCUCCCAGAAGUUAUUUUUGUGCGUGUGUACUCUUUGGUGAUUUUCCAAUUCUGUUUAAUGCACAGAAUAGAUAACUACAAAUAUUUACCUCUCUCAAAGCUAGGUCCCAGGAAAUUCUUACUGAUUUGAAAAGGUUAGUGAUUUAAUCUCAUGCCAUUUUCAUGUGAGCUGCAUGACCGUGAGUAGUCCCAGAAUUCUCCUCUGCAAAUAUCCUGAAAGAAAAAGAACAAAUUGUUCUGAAUUGAAGAAUGAAUUCCAACCUGCUAACCAGAAACCUCCUCUGAGAGACUUGGCAAAGAUGCAUCUGCUGUCAAUGCUUGGAUCUUUCUUUUUAUGCCUCAAAGGAUACCAUAAACACGUGUGUGUGUGGAUGGCCAGUUUCCUAAAAUAAAUCUCAUGUCUCAUUCUU